GGCGUCAGGACGAACGCUGGCGGCAUGCUUCAUACAUAGCAAAGUCGAACGAUAAGGUCUCUUCGGAGAUACAUAAGUGGCGGACGGGUGAGUAAUAUGUAGGGAAAUCUGCCCUAGAGAGGGGGACAACAGAGGGAAACUUCUGCUAAUACCCCAUAUGAGCGUAGUUGAAAUACUAUUCUUGAAAACUCCGGUGCUCUAGGAUGAGCCUGCAUCUGAUUAGCUUGUUGGCGGUGUAAUGGACCACCAAGGCGACGAUCAGUAGCUGGUUUGAGAGGAUGAUCAGCCACAAUGGGACUGAGACACGGCCCAUACUCCUACGGGAGGCAGCAGUAGGGAAUUUUGCGCAAUGGGCGAAAGCCCUGACGCAGCAAUGCCGCGUGAACGUAGAAGCCCUUCGGGGUGUAAAGUUCUGUCAGUGGGGACGAAUUUUGACGGUACCCACAGAGGAAGCACCGGCUAACUCCGUGCCAGCCGCCGC
This 481-nucleotide ribosomal RNA is filed under the name uncultured bacterium. Its description in RNAcentral is "bacterial SSU rRNA". It matches the Rfam family "Bacterial small subunit ribosomal RNA", at positions 20 to 518 of the family's 1533-position model. The record is from RNAcentral.